AUUGAACGCUGGCGGCAGGCUUAACACAUGCAAGUCGAGCGGGGUGAUGGUGCUUGCACUAUCACUUAGCGGCGGACGGGUGAGUAAUGCUUAGGAAUCUGCCUAUUAGUGGGGGACAACAUCUCGAAAGGGAUGCUAAUACCGCAUACGUCCUACGGGAGAAAGCAGGGGAUCACUUGUGACCUUGCGCUAAUAGAUGAGCCUAAGUCGGAUUAGCUAGUUGGUGGGGUAAAGGCCUACCAAGGCGACGAUCUGUAGCGGGUCUGAGAGGAUGAUCCGCCACACUGGGACUGAGACACGGCCCAGACUCCUACGGGAGGCAGCAGUGGGGAAUAUUGGACAAUGGGGGGAACCCUGAUCCAGCCAUGCCGCGUGUGUGAAGAAGGCCUUAUGGUUGUAAAGCACUUUAAGCGAGGAGGAGGCUCUUUUGGUUAAUACCCAAGAUGAGUGGACGUUACUCGCAGAAUAAGCACCGGCUAACUCUGUGCCAGCAGCCGCCGCAG
Molecule: ribosomal RNA, 503 nt
Filed under: uncultured bacterium
Lineage: Bacteria
Description: partial 16S ribosomal RNA
Rfam family: Bacterial small subunit ribosomal RNA
Source: RNAcentral